Molecule: ribosomal RNA, 253 nt
Filed under: uncultured bacterium
Lineage: Bacteria
Description: partial 16S ribosomal RNA
Rfam family: Bacterial small subunit ribosomal RNA
Source: RNAcentral
UACGUAGGUGGCAAGCGUUGUCCGGAUUUACUGGGCGUAAAGAGCGCGCAGGCGGUCGUUCAAGUCGCGUGUGAAAGCCCCCGGCUCAACUGGGGAGGGUCACGCGAUACUGAUCGACUCGAAGGCAGGAGAGGGUAGUGGAAUUCCACGUGUAGCAGUGAAAUGCGUAGAGAUGUGGAGGAACACCGAUGGCGAAGGCAGCCCCCUGGGCCGACACUGACGCUCAUGCACGAAAGCGUGGGGAGCAAACAGG